This 274-nucleotide unclassified non-coding RNA is filed under the name Melitaea cinxia (Glanville fritillary). Its description in RNAcentral is "misc RNA ENSMCXG00005001508.1". The record is from RNAcentral. Lineage: Eukaryota; Metazoa; Arthropoda; Insecta; Lepidoptera; Nymphalidae.
AAACAAUAUCUGCAUCACUCGGCUUCACUAGUGUGUCUUGCUUACAUACGUCAAACAAAGGUUGCAAGCUUUUUACAUGGCAUUUUCUUCGUUUAACACAACUUGAAUAAGCGUUCAAGGUUGAAAUUUCAGUACCUCCAAAGACGGUAUUCUCUUGUGCUCUCUGCAAUAGUUUUUCAUCAACACAGUUGUUUCUUUUAUGUUGUAUACAAAGAUACAAAUAAAACCUAGGGGAAACUUGGAAGAAUGAGUCAAAUCCCGCAGCACGUAGUAA